CCCACCGGCUACAAAGGGGAGCAAGGAGAGGUCGGCAAGGACGGUGAGAAGGGUGAUCCUGGCCCCCCUGGGCCUGCUGGCAUCCCAGGCACUGUGGGGCUGCAGGGGCCUCGGG
Molecule: long non-coding RNA, 115 nt
Organism: Neomonachus schauinslandi (Hawaiian monk seal)
Lineage: Eukaryota; Metazoa; Chordata; Mammalia; Carnivora; Phocidae
Exons: 3
Source: RefSeq, a predicted model, not a curated record